GGGCCGCAGAGGGCGUCUGGAGACCGGAGAAACCGCGGCCGUCUGGCCCCUCGCCUCGGCCGGGGCUGUCCCUUUAAAUCCUGGAGGAGGCAAAGAGAAAAAAGGAAAGAAAGAAAAAAGACGCGGAGCCCCGAGAGGCUGGUGGCUCUGCUCUGCCCCCCACUCCGCCCCCGCGCAGAGGCCUGACUCCCGCCCGCCGCCUCCGCAGGUCCUGGGCGUCCCCCGCAGCGCCGCCUACUCGCCACAGUUACUGUCAAAAUAGAAAUUAACGGAGCCGGGAGGAAGCUGGGACACAGCAAGUGCAUGUGUGGCAGGGCGGGGAGGGGGCCGCAGGGGAGCAGGCGGGCGCGAGCGAGGAGAGGCGACCGCAGACAUCCGGGCCCUUUAGCCCCGUGCGCCCCCCGAGCCGGCGGCGCGGGCACCGGGCGCGGGGCUCCGGGCUGACAGCCGCGGCGCGGGAGGCGGGGCGCAAGGAGGGCGGAGGCGCAGCACCGGGAGGGAGGAGCUGUCCGCGCGCCCGCCGCCACCGCUCGACUCCACACCCGCCGGCGCAGCCCCGCCACGAGACUCUGACAGCGGCGCGGCCAGCGCUGCUCGCGAGCGCAGGGACGGACAGACAGCCGCCGCGAAGGAGGACGCGAGCACCGCUGCCGGGCGCCAAGUGCGCGAGGCGCGCGGAGACGGAGGCGCGCAGAGAUUUCCUCUGAAGCUGCUGGGAGCUCAGUUUCCCCCAUCCCUGAGGAGGAGGACCGUCAGAAGAGAAGGAAGGGAUGGCGUGGAGCCCACUCAGCGCCUAAGGAGUGGAUCUCCAAGUGGGGAGCUGCACCACUGGGGUGACUCAAGAAGAAUCGAUGCUUUGGCCCCUGGUGACAUGUACACGGUGUAAUGACAGGAAGUGAACAGGUUUGCAGGAAAACUGGUGGCCUGAAAUCGAAGACUAAGGUGUGGGUGCUUGUGAGUAUGAGUUUUGCUUGCGGGGUUCUGUGUUUAACAAUGUUCCUGGGAAGUGGGCGUGUUCCCAGAUAGGGGAAAGGAGUGUGACCUGGGUGGAAUCAGCUUUGGAUUCUUCUGGAAGGUGCUUCUUGGUGGGCAGGACUGAACCCAGGCAUGUAAGCAUCAAGUGAAGGAGGGUGCUCUGAACCCCGGCUCUGCCCUCUAAGUAGAGGACAUUCCUGCUGGCUUGGCAAGAGAGUUGUUCCCUUGGCUUGUGAGUUGUUGCAGGGUGGAGCAGGGCUCCCCUGGGAACAGAGAGGCAUGCAUCUGUGCAGUUCUAAGUUUGCUGCGAGAUUAGCCCUAUUUAGAACAGUAAAUUCUCAUAGAGACCGGGUAACCAUGUGUUAAUCUCAGAGCAAUCAUAGGUACCAAUCCUGUCAUCAGUCUGAGAAGUUCAUUAACCACCGGGACGGGGCAUGACCCAAAAGCCCGGAGCAAGCCUCGAGAUGCAGCAGGCGCAGGCUUCACUUUGGAAGAGUGCUCAGUCCAGAGUGGGAAGAGAAGACAUCUGCACAUGAGACAAAGAACUUUCUGGAAGGAUGCAGGGGUUGACCUUGGCUCCAUGGCCCAGAAAGAAAUGCUGGUGAUGGGGAGUGGUCAGGAAAAACUCCCUGGGGAAGGAGAGACUUGAUCAGGACAAUGGGGGAGAUAGGGAGGAGGAGUAGGG
This 1660-nucleotide long non-coding RNA is filed under the name Castor canadensis (American beaver). RNAcentral describes it as "lncRNA (ENSCCNG00000021654.1)". Lineage: Eukaryota; Metazoa; Chordata; Mammalia; Rodentia; Castoridae. The record is from RNAcentral.